GACGAACGCUGGCGGCGUGCCUAAUACAUGCAAGUAGAACGCACAGUUUAUACCGUAGCUUGCUACACCAUAAACUGUGAGUUGCGAACGGGUGAGUAACGCGUAGGUAACCUGCCUGGUAGCGGGGGAUAACUAUUGGAAACGAUAGCUAAUACCGCAUAAUAUUGAUUAUUGCAUGAUAAUUGAUUGAAAGAUGCUAUUGCAUCACUACCAGAUGGACCUGCGUUGUAUUAGCUAGUAGGUUAGGUAACGGCUCACCUAGGCGACGAUACAUAGCCGACCUGAGAGGGUGAUCGGCCACACUGGGACUGAGACACGGCCCAGACUCCUACGGGAGGCAGCAGUAGGGAAUCUUCGGCAAUGGACGAAAGUCUGACCGAGCAACGCCGCGUGAGUGAAGAAGGUUUUCGGAUCGUAAAGCUCUGUUGUAAGAGAAGAACGGGUGUGAGAGUGGAAAGUUCACACUGUGACGGUAUCUUACCAGAAAGGGACGGCUAACUACGUG
RNAcentral lists this ribosomal RNA (505 nucleotides) under uncultured bacterium. Its description in RNAcentral is "partial 16S ribosomal RNA". It matches the Rfam family "Bacterial small subunit ribosomal RNA", at positions 28 to 507 of the family's 1533-position model. The record is from RNAcentral.